This 467-nucleotide ribosomal RNA is filed under the name uncultured bacterium. RNAcentral describes it as "partial 16S ribosomal RNA". It matches the Rfam family "Bacterial small subunit ribosomal RNA", at positions 28 to 507 of the family's 1533-position model. The record is from RNAcentral.
GACGAACGCUGGCGGCGUGCUUAACACAUGCAAGUCGAACGGAAAGGCCUCUUUCGGGGUGUACUCGUGGGGAAAACGGGAGAAUAACGCGUGUGUAACGUGCCCUACACUGGGGUAUAACUUGGAAACUCGGGGGCUAAUACCGGAUAGGAUCCUGUUGUACAUGGGGGGGUGGGGAGAGUUGCGGCGGUUGGGGAUGGACUCGCGGCCUAUCAGCUUGUUGGUGGGGUAGUGGCUUACCAAGGCGUUGACGGGUAGCCGGCCUGAGAGGGUGACCGGCCACAUUGGGACUGAGAUACGGCCCAGACUCCUACGGGAGGCAGCAGUGGGGAAUAUUGCACAAUGGGUGGAAGCCUGAUGCAGCAACGCCGCGUGCGGGAUGACGGCCUUCGGGUUGUAAACCGCUUUCGGCAGUGACGAAGCUUUGUGUGACGGUAGUGGGUGAAGAAGCACCGGCUAACUACGUG